CACCUCCUAAUCUCUAAAAUCUAUUGUAAAAUUCCUUAUAACUUCAAAAGAGAAAAAAUAUGUCUUAAAUAAAUAUCUUAACUUCAAACGGCUAUUAUUUCAUCAUCAUAACUCCAAAUCUUCUAAAAUUUAUAUACAAAUUUUAAUUCAAAUCCUAAACCUUAUAAAUCUUGCUUUGGAUUUUCAAAUUCUCUUUCUAAAGUCACUGAAUCCUUAUUAUGGUCACAGAUAACUUAUUGAAUGUCUAUUAGGCAUGGCCUUCAAUCAAUAGGGAUGAAGAUCUUUAUCCUUUUGCCUUCAUCUAUCUAUACCUUACUUUCAUCUCUCCAAAUAAGUUUCUUGGAUGUUUGGAU
Molecule: long non-coding RNA, 353 nt
Filed under: Physcomitrium patens
Lineage: Eukaryota; Viridiplantae; Streptophyta; Bryopsida; Funariales; Funariaceae
Description: long non-coding RNA (PPAT_LNC001669)
Source: RNAcentral